UCGGUGGAGCGGAAGUUCCUCCCCGGCCAUCUCUUUCACUUGCCAGACUUGUGUGGGCUGCGGUCACAGGCAGCUGUCCGGGGUCCUUGCUGUGUGGCUACCAACACCACGAUCAUUCCUACCGGCCCCAGGGAGCCUCGGGCUCAGAUAUGGUGGCGGGAUCCCGGCGGCCAACCCCAAGUCUUGCAGAGCCCUGUGCUCCCGUCUCCCCAGCGAGACGCCUCCUGAGAAGUCUAUGUAGUUGAGCAUGUUAACGUAUGCCCACAGCACCAGCCCGUGCGAGAUGAAGACGAAUUGAAGCCCGGUUUGGAUUGUAUGCCACGUUCUGAGCCAACCAGAGCUAGGUGCAAGAGUGUCUCAAAGACCAAACCAGACCAAAACCAAAACAAAGUGAUGUAGACAUUCAGUGUUUUCAAAUGAGUUAACUUGGAAAUAGAUUAAGAAACACCGUAUCCAGCCAGUUGCCCUGGUGCAUUAUAAUACACGAUGGCCCUCUUCUACAGUGAUUUGUUGUUCAACUUUUACUGGAGUAAAGGAAAAUGGAGUAAAAUAAUGGGAACUAUAUUUACUAAAUUUUUGCUUACCAAUUAACCAUAAAAAAAUGUCUAACUUC
Molecule: long non-coding RNA, 613 nt
Organism: Apodemus sylvaticus (European woodmouse)
Lineage: Eukaryota; Metazoa; Chordata; Mammalia; Rodentia; Muridae
Exons: 2
Source: RefSeq, a predicted model, not a curated record